AUUGAACGCUGGCGGCAUGCUUUACACAUGCAAGUCGAACGGUAACAGGGAGCUUGCUCCGCUGACGAGUGGCGAACGGGUGAGUAAUGCAUCGGAACGUACCGUGUAAUGGGGGAUAACGUAGCGAAAGUUACGCUAAUACCGCAUACGCCCUGAGGGGGAAAGUGGGGGACCGCAAGGCCUCACGUUAUACGAGCGGCCGAUGUCGGAUUAGCUAGUUGGUGGGGUAAAGGCCUACCAAGGCGACGAUCCGUAGCGGGUCUGAGAGGAUGAUCCGCCACACUGGGACUGAGACACGGCCCAGACUCCUACGGGAGGCAGCAGUGGGGGAUAUUGGACAAUGGGCGAAAGCCUGAUCCAGCAAUGCCGCGUGAGUGAUGAAGGCCCUAGGGUUGUAAAGCUCUUUUACCCGGGAUGAUAAUGACAGUACCGGGAGAAUAAGCUCCGGCUAACUCCGUGCCAGCAGCCGCGGUAAU
Molecule: ribosomal RNA, 476 nt
Filed under: uncultured bacterium
Lineage: Bacteria
Description: bacterial SSU rRNA
Rfam family: Bacterial small subunit ribosomal RNA
Source: RNAcentral